CCUACGGGAGGCAGCAGUGGGGAAUAUUGGUCAAUGGGCGCAAGCCUGACCCAGCAACGCCGCGUGAAGGAAGACGGUUCUAGGAUUGUUAACCUCCGUUUUUAGUGAAGAAUAAUGACGGUAGCUAAGGAGCACGCCACGGCUAACUACGUGCCAGCAGCCGAGGUAAUACGUAGGUGGCAAGCGUUGUCCGGAAUUACUGGGUGUAAAGGGAGUGAAGGCGGGAAGCCAAGUCAGCUGUGAAAACUCCGGGCUUAACUUGUAGACUGCAGUUGAACCUGGUUUUCUUGAGUGAAGUAGAGGUAGGCGGAAUGCCUGGUGUAGCGGUGAAAUGCUUAGAUAUUACGAGGAACACCGAUGGCGAAGGCGGCCUACUGGGCUUUAACUGACGCUGAGGCUCGAAAGUGUGGGGAGCAAACAGGAUUAGAUACCCGAGUAGUC
Molecule: ribosomal RNA, 441 nt
Filed under: uncultured bacterium
Lineage: Bacteria
Description: partial 16S ribosomal RNA
Rfam family: Bacterial small subunit ribosomal RNA
Source: RNAcentral